This 484-nucleotide ribosomal RNA is filed under the name uncultured bacterium. RNAcentral describes it as "partial 16S ribosomal RNA". It matches the Rfam family "Bacterial small subunit ribosomal RNA", at positions 30 to 507 of the family's 1533-position model. The record is from RNAcentral.
AUUGAACGCCGGCGGCAGGCCUAACACAUGCAAGUCGAGCGGAUGAAGGGAGCUUGCUCCUGGAUUCAGCGGCGGACGGGUGAGUAAUGCCUAGGAAUCUGCCUGGUAGUGGGGGAUAACGUCCGGAAACGGGCGCUAAUACCGCAUACGUCCUGAGGGAGAAAGUGGGGGAUCUUCGGACCUCACGCUAUCAGAUGAGCCUAGGUCGGAUUAGCUGGUUGGUGGGGUAAAGGCCUACCAAGGCGACGAUCCGUAACUGGUCUGAGAGGAUGAUCAGUCACACUGGAACUGAGACACGGUCCAGACUCCUACGGGAGGCAGCAGUGGGGAAUAUUGGACAAUGGGCGAAAGCCUGAUCCAGCCAUGCCGCGUGUGUGAAGAAGGUCUUCGGAUUGUAAAGCACUUUAAGUUGGGAGGAAGGGCAGUAAGUUAAUACCUUGCUGUUUUGACGUUACCAACAGAAUAAGCACCGGCUAACUUCGUG